Molecule: ribosomal RNA, 497 nt
Filed under: uncultured bacterium
Lineage: Bacteria
Description: partial 16S ribosomal RNA
Rfam family: Bacterial small subunit ribosomal RNA
Source: RNAcentral
GAUGAACGCUGGCGGCGUGCCUAAUACAUGCAAGUCGAGCGAACAGACGAGGAGCUUGCUCCUCUGACGUUAGCGGCGGACGGGUGAGUAACACGUGGAUAACCUACCUAUAAGACUGGGAUAACUUCGGGAAACCGGAGCUAAUACCGGAUAAUAUAUUGAACCGCAUGGUUCAAUAGUGAAAGACGGUUUUGCUGUCACUUAUAGAUGGAUCCGCGCCGCAUUAGCUAGUUGGUAAGGUAACGGCUUACCAAGGCAACGAUGCGUAGCCGACCUGAGAGGGUGAGCGGACAAACGGGAACUGAGACACGGUCCAGACUACUACGGGAGGCAGCAGUAGGGAAUCUUCCGCAAUGGGCGAAAGAUUGAAGGAGCAACGCCGCGGGAGGGAUGAAGGUCUUCGGAUAGUAAAAAUCUGUUAUUAGGGAAGAACAAAUGUGUAAGUAACUAUGCACGUCUUGAAGGUACCUAAUCAGAAAGCAACGGCUAACUACGUG